This is a small nucleolar RNA of Prolemur simus (greater bamboo lemur), 140 nucleotides long. Its record names the gene SNORA70. It matches the Rfam family "Small nucleolar RNA SNORA70". From Rfam's summary of the family: snoRNA U70 seems to be exclusive to mammals and is a member of the H/ACA class of snoRNA which contain H (ANANNA) and ACA box motifs. The record is from Ensembl. Lineage: Eukaryota; Metazoa; Chordata; Mammalia; Primates; Lemuridae.
CUGCAACCAAUUAAGCCAACCAUGCUCAUUUAUUUCCUCACAGGGGCCCAGUGUGCAAUGGCUGCAAACAGCAGCCUCCCUGGUAGAGUAUGCAGCCUGCUGCAUAUAUGAGUUGUUCUUAAGGGACCUUGGAGACAGUC